Molecule: ribosomal RNA, 739 nt
Filed under: uncultured Planctomycetota bacterium
Lineage: Bacteria; Pseudomonadati; Planctomycetota
Description: bacterial SSU rRNA
Rfam family: Bacterial small subunit ribosomal RNA
Source: RNAcentral
GAUUAAAGCCCCUUCGUGGGUAUAUACAGUGGCGAAAGGGCGAGGAAUACGUUCCUACGUACCCCGAGGUCGGGGAUAGCCCGGGGAAACCCGGAGUAAUACCCGAUGUGGUCCGUCGCAAGGCGGAUCAAAGGCUUCGGUCGCCUUGGGAGCGGGGAACGUCCUAUCAGGUUGUUGGUGAGGUAAAGGCUCACCAAGCCGAAGACGGGUAGCGGGUGUGAGAGCACGAACCGCCGCAUCGGGACUGAGACACUGCCCGGACUCCUACGGGAGGCUGCAGCAACGAAUCUUCCGCAAUGCGCGAAAGCGUGACGGAGCAAUGCCGCGUGCAGGAUGAAGCCCUUCGGGGUGUAAACUGCUGUCAGGGUUUAGCAACACAAUGAGCAGACCCAAAGGAAGGGCCGGCUAACUUCGUGCCAGCAGCCGCGGUAUACGAAGGGCCCGAGCGUUGCGCGGAAUCACUGGGCUUAAAGCGUACGUAGGCGGGCAUGCAGGUAUCUUGUGAAAUCCCUCGGCUCAACCGAGGAACCGCUUGGUAAACCGCAUGUCUUGAGGCAAGUAGAGGCUGUCGGAACGAUAGGUGGAGCGGUGAAAUGCGUUGAUAUCUAUCGGAACGCCGAAGGUGAAGACAGGCAGCUGGGCUUGUUCUGACGCUGAUGUACGAAAGCGUGGGGAGCGAACGGGAUUAGAUACCCCGGUAGUCCACGCCGUAAACGAUGUGCACUAGAUCGAGGGGGUU